Hemiscyllium ocellatum (epaulette shark) is the source of this 4225-nucleotide RNA transcript. It is a transcript of the gene named SWI/SNF-related matrix-associated actin-dependent regulator of chromatin subfamily E member 1-related-like, with no coding region annotated. The transcript has 11 exons. Lineage: Eukaryota; Metazoa; Chordata; Chondrichthyes; Orectolobiformes; Hemiscylliidae. The record is from RefSeq and is a predicted model, not a curated record.
GACGUCGUUGUGUUGUUUACGAAUGGAUUUAAACAGAAAAGACCGGUAAAAAAAUAACAUCAACAGCGCCGCACAGGCUGGCCUGGGGACUCGGAGAGUCACUACAUUUUAUUGUAAUUCCUGCUAUUCCAGAUCCUGCUCAAUUGAGUGUGUUCUCAAGUGAUGGACGGUACACCAGAUACUGGAUGCUCAACUACUCCAGGAUCACCACAAGGAGUAAAACAGGAUGAAGGUGAAUCACCCAAAAGCCAUAAUACCUACAAUGGAUCACAGAAAAAUGAGAAGCGGGGUGAAAAGAAAACUGAGGAGCAGCGUGUGACUAAGAAGAGAGGCUGGCCAAAGGGCAAAAAACGUAAAAAGAAUAUACCCAAUGGUCCCAAAGCUCCACUGACAGGCUAUAUGCGAUUUUUGAAUGAACGGCGUGAGCAGUUGCGGGCACAGCAACCAGAUUUACCUUUUCCUGAAAUCACCAAAACUUUGGGCAGUGAAUGGAGCAAACUUCCACCUGAGGAUAAACAGUGCUACCUUGAUGAAGCUGAACGGGCAAAACAGCAAUACAUAAAAGAACUGCAGGAGUAUCAGAAAACUGAAGCUUAUAAAAUGAGCACAAUUGCUGUCCAGGAAAAGAAAUUGAGGAAAGAAUCUGCUCAUUCAAUGUCAAAUGGCAUGCAUACUGAGAAGAUCGACAGUGAGCAGCAAGGAAGAAUGUCCAUGUUUAAUAUUCCAAUAUUUACAGAAGAAUUUCUUGAUCAUAACAAAGCUCGAGAAGCAGAGUUGAGAAAAUUGCGCAAGACUAAUAUUGAAUAUGAGGAGCAGAACGCAGUCUUGCAGAAGCACAUUGACAACAUGAGAAGUGCCAAAGAGAAACUGGAAGAGGAGCUGGCUGAAGAACAGAACCAGAAUGUAACUCUACACAAACAUCUCGAGAAUUUGCGGCAGACGUUAACCAAUAGCUUCAGUAAUGUGUCUUUACCAGGAAGUGGAGAAAGUGUGACAUUAGACACAGUUGAUUCCUUUAUGACGAAACUUCACAGUAUUAUAGACGAAGACCCUCAACAGAAUGAGAAGCUUGUGAGAAAGGUGCAAGAGAUCGUAAGCAAUUUAGGCAACAGCGAUGGGCCUUAAAACAGCAUGAUUUUAAUCAGAGAAGAUGGUUCACAGAUGUCCAUGUUGGCUGCAAUCCCAGCUCCUUAUCUUCUUAGAAUUUAAUGAAGAGAUUGCUGCAGCUCCAUGAAGAAGGUGCUGCCGGACCUGCUGAGCUUUUUCAGCAACUUCUGUUUUUGUAUCAGCUGUAUUAACUUGCUGUUAUAGUGGUGAAAAGAAAUAGGAGCCUAUGGGAGAGGGAGACAGACUAGCUUGCCUGUUGGCUGUCUGAUUCUGUGAGGCUUCUCCCCAUUGUCCAGAGAGCAGAGGUCUGGGGGCAAACCAAACAUUUUCACCUCACUCGGAUAUUGGGAGCUACAGAUUUCAUUUUAGGGGUGAAAUAUUGUCUCAUAAUAUUGUUCUUAAAUGAUGUAUUAAUAUUUUAAUGAAAAUUACUAUUCUUUCUGGAAAACCAGCAUUGUAGUCAGGCACUUAUGAAGUUGUAUCACUGAUCCUCUUUCAUUAAUCUUCCUUUUUUCCAAGUGACUGCAAGGCGAACAGUUCAUUAAACAAAUGAUUCAGAAUUUUUUUAAAUUCAUAAAGCAGGGUAACUUUUACUGUUGGAAGUGGACCCUUGAAUUUGUUUUAAAAUGACACAUGAAGAGGAACAAGACAAAUCACUCUUGUGUUAAUGGGGAGAAUUAAAACUUAAGUUAAUUUGAUUAAGACUACUUAUAUGAUAAAAUAUAUAGGAAAAGUCCAAAAUAUUUUACUUAGCAUCCUGUGUUCUCAUGCAAUGUAUGAGUGAGGGUGCUGAUAUUUAAUUUCUGUUGAGCAGUAUGUUGUUUUGUGUUUUAAUAUUGCAGAGAAUAUAUGCAGUUUGGAUUCAUUUACUUUGCCUGUUGCAAGGUUUUGCCAUUUCAGUUAUCUAUGGUGAUAUAAGGUGUUUAAAACAACGUCAGAUAAAUUCCAGCAGUGUGUCAGCCCAUUGUGUCUCUUGCUGCUUGCUAUGUUGCUUUAUUUUUUCUGUACCCCUUUAAUUUGCUUCAGUCUUAAAUUACAAUCCCAAGUCUCCUGUGAGUGGUGAUCCCUGUCUCAGCAGUCACACUUUCUGAAACAUUAAUUACUUGUAUUAAUGAUUCUACAUGCAGCAAAAGUUAUACUUUACUAUUAAUUGUCUCAAAACCUUAAUUUUGAAAAUGUAUAAUGGAUCCCUCCACUUGUGUUUGUAGGAGUGGUGAGUGGGGAUGUCACCGUUUUCAGUCAUAACUAACAUCAUUCCUAAAGAAAUCGUGUAUAUUUUUCCUACCCUUUGUAUAAUAUCCUUCCAUUAAUGAGAAGUAUACAGCUUUGUGCCAGGUAAUCUAAUUGACGCUAACGUCAUUUGCAAGCUUCUACAUUUAAAUUCUCCAUGCCUUACUUCAAGCUGACAAUCUCAUUAAUCUGUUUAAUGUUUUCAUUUCUACUAACAAUCUAUGAAUCAUUCUGUGGGGUGUCAUGUGAUACAUUUUCCUCUUUACUGCUUUGGUGUAAAGCAGUCCAACUGUUUGGCACUGGGGCCACGUUUCAAUUUUGGUCUCACUAGGGCCGGUGAGCAUGUUUCAGAAACAUGAGGCUUGCAUCAAUUGUAAGCAUCAAUUUCAGGAAAAAAGAAUUACAAGCAAUAAAGUGUCAAACCAUGGAGCUAACUAAAGUUUGUUUUUCUUUGCCUUUUUGUUUGAGAAGCAGAUGAAAGGGUGAAAAAUCUGGAUUUCAAUUGCUGAUGGCCAGGAAGGGGAUCAGGACCUGGGCUGAUUGUAACUAAUACUGACCUUGGUUUGUGGUUGGCAGAGCACAUUUCCAAGUCAACCUUUGCAGAAUUCAUGUGAAAGUGGAGAUCAGAAGCAGGUUGCUUUUCUGUCCCAGGUUUUCCUCCUCUCUCCACCUCACCCAUUCACACAUGCUCAUUCUCUCACACACUUAACCCCCGAGCAUAGUUUUCAUAGUAAUUGUAAGUAGUAGUCCAAAUUGAAGGCUAAUGUUCCGGAAACUUGGAUUCAAAUACCUCCACGGCAGAUGGCAAAGGUAAAUCUGAGGUUAAAGCUGGUUAUGUGGCAUUUGUGUAACUAUUGUAAAAACCGAUUGGGUUCACUAAUGUCCUUCAGCAAAAGAAAUCCGUGUUCCUAUCUGGUCUGACCUGCAUGCGAGUCCACUUUAAUGUAAUUGACUCUUAACUUGCCUCUGAAGUACCUAGACAGUCACUCAGUUCAAGGAUAACUAGAAAUCGGCAACAAACUCUAGCCAUACCAGCAAUGCCCAUUUCUCAUACAAGAAUAAAAAAACCACCCACUCUUGACUCACCCAAAACCAUUGAUCCAUCCACUUGUUACCAUUCACUCAGUCACCCAUUUGCGCACACUCACCAGUGGUGCCACAAUGUUGCCUAUAUGACAUUUUUACCCAUUGUAGUUGAAACAAUAAAUGCUUCCUUUUGUAGGUUUUUGAUCCACACAAUAUGGUUUUUCACUCUGCCCAGGUAAAAAUUCCUGCUGAAUUGCUGGAAAGAAACACAAGCUGCUGUUUAGACACCUUCCCUUUCUAUUAUUUCCCAAACGUAUUGCUUUACAUUUUUUUCAUUUUAACUACAACUGCCAUCUGUCUGCCCAAUUUGCCUUUGCGGUGUCUUGACUCUCAACGUGACAGUUUAUCUUGUCCCUAAUUUGACAUGAUGACGAAUCUCUGUCAUUCUUGUGCCUAUUUCCAGAUCCUUUAGGUAUGUGCAGCUUCAGAUCUUUGCUUAAAAGAGGGAUAGUUUGAACAUAGUGGUGAAAUCCUCUAAAUGUACCUCGAUUACAUAAUGGAAAUAGAGUGCAAAGAGACUGAUUUUAUUACAUUACUUUUCAACAGGUAUAAACACUGCUGUAUAUGCUGUAGUGCAUACAUGACGAGUAAAAGAUGUGGCUACAUAGCAAGUGAUUUUUGAUUGUGACAGCAGUGUAAUCUUUGGGAUCAGUUGUAUGAUUACAAAGAUUCUUUUUUUAUUAAGUGAGAACACCAUUCAGUCUUGUGAUUGAUGUACUGUUCAAGGAAUGUAGUGUGUUUCAUUAAUUCCAGUUAAGUGAAUUUCUUUUGCUUCAUCAAGUUUACUGGUGUUUUUAUUAAC